AGAGUUUGAUCCUGGCUCAGGGUGAACGCUGGCGGCGUGCCUAAGACAUGCAAGUCGAACGGGUUGGUAACAACACCGUGGCGGACGGGUGAGUAACGCGUGGGUGACGUGCCCUGGAGUUGGGGACAACCAAGCGAAAGUUUGGAUAAUCCCCGAUGGUGAUGCAGCUCCUGUGCUGUAUCUAAAGAUUUAUCGCUCCAGGAUCGGCCCGCGUCCUAUCAGGUAGUUGGUGGGGUAACGGCUCACCAAGCCAACGACAGGUAACUGGUCUGAGAGGACGACCAGUCACAGGAGCACUGAGACACGGGCUCCACUCCUACGGGAGGCAGCAGUUAGGGAUAUUCGUCAAUGGGGGAAACCCUGAACGAGCGACGCCGCUUGAAGGACGAAGCCUUUCGGGGUGUAAACUCCUGAACUCGGGACGAUAAUGACGGUACCGAGCUAAUAGCACCGGCUAACUCCGUGCCAGCAGCCGCGGUAAUACGGAGGGUGCGAGCGUUACCCGGAUUUACUGGGCGUAAAGGGCGUGUAGGCGGUUUGUUAAGUCCGAUGUGAAAGACCGGGGCUCAACCCCGGGAACGCGUUGGAUACUGACAGACUAGACGGCUGGAGGGGGUAGCGGAAUUUCCGGAGUAGCGGUGAAAUGCGCAGAUACCGGAAGGAACGCCAAUAGCGAAGGCAGCUACCUAGACAGCACGUGACGCUGAGGCGCGAAAGCAUGGGGAGCUAACCGGAUUAGAUACCCGGGUAGUCCAUGCCCUAAACGAUGAGUGCUGGGUGUCCGGCGUAUGCUGGGUGCCGAAGCUAACGCGUUAAGCACUCCGCCUGGGAAGUACGGUCGCAAGACUGAAACUCAAAGGAAUUCACGGGGCCCCGCACAAGCGGUGGAGCAUGUGGUUUAAUUCGAAAGAACGCGCAGAACCUUACCAGGCCUUGACAUCUGGGGAAUCCCGCUGAAAGGUGGGAGUGUCCGCAAGGAAGCCCCAAGACAGGUGCUGCAUGGCAGUCGUCAGCCCGUGUCUUGAGAUGUUGGAUUAAGUCCCGCAACGAGCGCAACCCCUGUAGUUAGUUGCCAGCAGUUCGACUGGGCACUCUAGCUAGACUGCCUGCGAAAGCAGGAGGAAGGCGGGGAUGACGUCUAGUCCGCAUGGCCCUUACGGCCUGGGCUACACACGUGCUACAAUGGUUGCUACAGAGCGCUGCAACACGGCGACGUGAAGCCAAUCGCUUAAAAGCAACCUCAGUUCGGAUUGGAGUCUGCAACUCGACUCCAUGAAGCCGGAAUCGCUAGUAAUCGCGAAUCAGCUACGUCGCGGUGAAUACGUUCCCGGGGCUUGUACACACCGCCCGUCAAGCCAUGGGAGUAGGUUUCACCUGAAGUCACUGGGAGCUUAAGGCAGGUGCCGAGGGUGGGGCUUAUGACUGGGGCUAAGUCGUAACAAGGUA
RNAcentral lists this ribosomal RNA (1446 nucleotides) under metagenome. Its description in RNAcentral is "bacterial SSU rRNA". It matches the Rfam family "Bacterial small subunit ribosomal RNA". The record is from RNAcentral.